Molecule: ribosomal RNA, 301 nt
Filed under: uncultured bacterium
Lineage: Bacteria
Description: partial 16S ribosomal RNA
Rfam family: Bacterial small subunit ribosomal RNA
Source: RNAcentral
CAGCAGCCGCGGGAAUACGAAGGGGGCUAGCGUUGUUCGGAAUUACUGGGCGUAAAGGGCGCGUAGGCGGCCAUUCAAGUUAGAUGUGAAAGCCCUGGGCUCAACCUUGGAACUGCCUUCAAUACUGGCGAUCUUGAGUAUGAGAGAGGUGUGUGGAACUCCGAGUGUAGAGGUGAAAUUCGUAGAUAUUCGGAAGAACACCAGUGGCGAAGGCGACACACUGGCUCAUUACUGACGCUGAGGCUCGAAAGCGUGGGGAGCAAACAGGAUUAGAUACCCCUGUAGUCCCUGUCUCUUAUAC